AUUGACACAAUUAAUUAUGACAUGAUGAUAUCCUGGUAACUUUUUUUCUUUCAAACAUAUGCAGGUUUUAGCUUUCAUCUAUAAGGAAAGCAAAAUAUUAGAAAGCCUUCCUUCGGACCACUUAAAAAGUGCUCGUCGUACUUACAGAAGUUUCUCAAUUGAGUCCAAUAAGACGUCAAAUUAGAAUCAGCUUUUGAUCGCUUGAGUAGGUACAAUGUUAAGUUGGUUGAUAGAUUCCAUGUUGGGAUUUUUUGUGUUGAACCUUGUAAAUUACUUGUAUUGCUAACACCACAUUGCUCGAGUUUGUCAAAGGUCAGAUGAUUACAUUUGAUAUCAAAGUGAGACAAUGGAUAGAAGCAUGUAAAAUUUGAUACAGCUGAUAUCGCUGGAUUAUGUAAAAGGACAUUUUGAAACCAAGAGCAUGUUUGUUACGCACCAUUAGAUAGUAUUGCAGAAC
RNAcentral lists this long non-coding RNA (457 nucleotides) under Olea europaea (common olive). RNAcentral describes it as "long non-coding RNA (OEUR_LNC001547)". The record is from RNAcentral. Lineage: Eukaryota; Viridiplantae; Streptophyta; Magnoliopsida; Lamiales; Oleaceae.